UUGAGUCCCACAUCAGGCUCAGCGGGGAGCCUGCUUCGCCCUCUCCCUUUGCCUGCUGCUCCCCCUGCUUGUGCGCUCACUCUCUCUGUCAAAUAAAUAAAAUCUUUUUAAAAAAUAAGAUUUGAGAAUUGAAAUUAUUCUUUGAUCCAUAGACUGCAGAAUGGAUAUUGUGUUAGCAGCCAUGAAAACAACAUUCAUUAAUCUCGGUGUCCAUCUCCAUCAGAACUCUUGGGUGACCAGGUGCCUUUUCAGUGAGCAGUAAUAUUUUAAAAGGAAUCUUUUUUUUUCCCUGAGCAGUAGGUCUCAACAUUGGGCUUAAAAUAUCCAGUAAACCAUGUUGUAAAACAGAUGGGCUGUCAUCCAGGCUUUGUUGUUCCAUUUAGAGAGCACAGGCAGAGUAGAGUUAGCAUUAUUCUUAAGGGCCCUAGGAAUCUCAGAAUGGUAAAUGAGUAUUAACUUCAACUUCAAGUCACCAGCUGCUGCAUUAACCCCUAGCAAGACAGCCUGUCCUUUGAAGCUUUGAAGGCAGGUAUUGACUUCUCUCUACUAUGAAAGUCCAAGGUGGGUCUUCCAAUAGAAGAGGGUUUCAUCUACAUGGCAAAUCUGUUGUUUAGUGUAGCCACCUUCAUUUAUUAUCUGAGCUACAUCUUCUGGAUAACUUUCUGUAGCUUCUACAUCAGCACUUGCUUCACUUUGUACUUUCAUGUUAUGGAGAUGGCUUCUUUCCCUAAACCUCAUGAACCAACCUCUGCUGUGCCUCAGACUUUUCUGCAGCUUCCUCACCUCUCUCAGCCUUCUUAGAAUAGCAGUUAGGGCCUUGCUCUGGACUAGGCUUUGGCUUCAGUGACUGUUGCAGCUGGUUUGAUCUUCUAUCUAGACCACUAAAAUUUUGUUCAUAUCAGCAAUGAGGCUGAUUCGUAUAUUCACUGGACUAGCACUUUAAUUUCCUUCAAGAACUUUUCUCUGCAUUCACAACUUGGUUAACUGUGGCACAGGAGGCCUAGCUUUUGGCCUGGCUCAGCUGUCAACAUGCCUUCCUCACUGAGCUUAAUCAUUUCUAGCUUUUGAUUUAAAGUGAGAGACAUGCGAUUCUUCCUUUGACUUGAGCACUUAGAAGCCGUUGUAGGGCUCUUAAUUUCCCCGAUUUCAGUAUUAUUGUAUCUCAGGGAAUAGGGAGACCUGAGGAGAGCGAGCGAGAGAGGUAGUCUGUGAAGCAGUCAGAACACAGAUUUAUAAAUUAAGUUUGCCAUCUUGUAUGGGUGCAGUUCAUGGUGUCCUAAAACAAUUACAAUAGUACUAUGAAAGCUCACUGGUCACAGAUCACCAUAACAAAAUAAGAAUAAUGAGAAAGUUUGAAAUAGUGCCAGAAUUACUGAAGUGUGACACAGAGACACAAAGUGAACAAACACAGUUGGAAAGAUAGCACCAAUAGACUUGCUCGACAUAGGGUUGCCACAGACUUUCAGUUUGUAAAAAACGUAAUAUCUGUGAAGCGAGAUAAAACAAGGUAUGAAUACAGUAUUAACUACAGUCGCCAUAUUGUACAUUACAUCCUCAUGACUUAUUUAUUUUAUAACUGGAAGUUUGUACCUUUUGACCCCCUUCAUCCGUUUCACCUACUCCCCACCCCUGGCAGCCACCAAUCUGUUCUCUGUAUCUGUGAGCUUGUUUUGGUUUUAAUUCCACAUAUAAGUGAGAUCAUAUAGUAUGUUCUUCUCUGUCUGACUUCUUUCACUUAGCAUAAUGCCCUCGGGGUCCAUCCAUGUUGACCCAAAUGGCAAGAUUUCAUUCUUUUUUUUAUGUUGCAUAGUAGUCCAUUGUGUGUGUGUGUGUGUGUGUGUGCGUGCAUACAUAACCACAUCCUCUAUACCCAUUUAUCCAUAGAUGGUCACUUAGGUUGUUUCCAUAUCUUCCAUAUCUUGGCUGUUGUAAAUAAUGCUGCAAUGAACAUGAUUCCAGUAAAGGCCUCUUUUUUACCUAAGGGUUAUAAUUAGGAUAAUGACUUAUUUUCUGAUAGGCAGGUAGUAAUUAUAAGUACGAGUUUUAAUUAUAUUAAGUUUCAAAUGACUUUCAAUGAAUGUUGUUAUAGAUGAAAAAGUAAUACUUUGUUAAACUAGUUCCAGCAUAUUCUUUAUAUGCAUUAUCCCUGUGAAAAGUUUUUUUCUGGGCUCUAGCUACAUAGUCUGUUGUUUAACAGAUGUAUCCAGAUCUCACCACUCUCUAACUACAAAGUAAGGUGACAUUUUAAAUGUGUAUAUAUAUAUAUAUACACACACACAUAUAUAUAUAUAUAUAUCUGUGCAAGGCCGUAUCACUAUGAGAUUCUGCUAUGUGUGAUUGUAAAAAGCUAAAAUAACAGUGGCUUAAACACAAAAAGGUAUAUUUCUUUCCACUUACAAGAAGUGUGGAUGUGUUAGAGUUCAGGGCUAUGGGGCAGUUCCACUGUAACCAGGGACAGAGGCUCUUUGUGUUAUUCAGCGUUCUGUCUUAUGUAAGUCUUUAGGCUCUUGUAACCAGUUCCAUGUGUGUGAGUGUGGUACCGUGUGGGACUGUGGUGCCCAAGCAAUUCUCUAGGGAUACCAGCUGGAGUUGUUCUACAGUUAAACUCAGUUCUGACACUGUCUCCCCAGAGAUAGCAUCAGAUCCCACAGGUUAAGGACUAAGUCCUCCAAGACUGUCCCCCUCACCCCCUACCCUCAGAAGGCAGUCACAAGCCCAGAUUGUUACCUGUACUUCUUACUGACCAGCUAUUAAUCAGAGGUUUCCACUGCUUGGGUUGGAUUAAUUUGUUAGAGCAGCUCGCAGAACUGAGAGACACAUUCUACUUACUGGAUUACUGGUUUAGUACAAACUAUAUAACUUAGGAACAACCAAACGGAAAAGAUUCAUAGGGCAAGUUAUGUGGGAAGGGAUGCAGUUUCUAUGCUCUCUUUUGGUGCUCCAUUCUUACUAUAGUUCCAGGUGUUCACCAAUCCGGAAGCUCUCCAGACUCUAUCCUUUUGGGUUUUUAGGUAGACUUUUUUACGUAGGUAUGGCUGAUUAAAUCAUUGGCCAUUGGUGAUUGAUUCAACUUUGAGCCCCUCUCCUCUCAAAGGAGGUGAGGGAGUGAGACUGAACAUUCCAACCCUCUAAUCACAUGGUUGGUUCCUCUGGUGACCAGCCCCCAUCCUUUGAAGUGGGGCAUUGCAAAAGUCACCUCAUUAACAUAACAAAAGAUGCCUUUAUCUUUCUCAUCUCUUAAGAAAUUCCAAGGGUUUUAAGAGCUCUGUGCCAGAAAGACGACAGAGACCAAAGACAUUUUUCUUAUUAUUGUUAAAACGAAAUUCAACCGAGUAAAUUUGAAGAUAUAGUUGGUUUUAUUAAGCAUUCAUGAAUCAGGCAGCAUCCCAGGAGUUGUACGAAAUGGAAGGUUUUAUAGGAAGGAGGGUUUGGGCAAGAAGUUAUUAAGAAAAGAAAGAACUGUUUGAGGCAUAGUCAUCUUCCCUUAGGGGAGAGGGCAAAGGAUUUUAUUAGGUAAGUGGAUUACCUCAUCUUCCUUUGGGGUAUGGAGAGGACCCAAGUGACAGAUUAUCUGUUUUCUGAUGAGGACAUUUGUGACUGACAGGUUAAAAGUACAUUUCUGGGGGAAAAAUUGGAACUUCAAUUAAGUUAGGUAUUAAGCCCCAGUUUGGUGACUUGGUCUGGUAUAAGUGACUCUAUCUUCGGCCUAUGGUUUUCUUUUUAGCGUUACAAAUCACAAUAUUAUAGUAAGUGACUUGAUCCAAGAGAUCUUCAGGAGCUCAAGACAUAUAGGUGGCAGUAAAGAAAGAGGUAAAAAUCAAAGAGCUGUACCACCAGUAAUUUGCAGUAUCCUGUUACGAAAAUUCAGUCACAUGAUGGAACCUAGCUGCACAAGGAGAGUAGAAAAAGUCUUUUAACCGCAUAUUGCUGCCCUGAAUAAAUUAGUAUUCUGUUAUAAGGAAUAGGGGGAGAGUAGAUAUAGAUAGGGUGGGCAUCUAGCAGUUUCUUCCACAAUAUGUGAUCUUUGUUUUUCCUGAAUGUAUUAGGGUUCUCCAGAGAUGAAGAGAUUAUAAGGAUUUGGCUCACACAAUUAGGGAGGGAGGCUGGCAAGUUGGCAGAAUAAGUGUUCAAAGGCCAUCAAGAGGGAAGAGCUUAAUGUUUCAGUUUAAAGGCCAGCAGGCUGAAUUCCCUCUUAUUUGAGGGAGGGUCGGCCUUUUGUUUAUUCAGGCCUUCAAAUGAUUGGAUGAGGCCCACCCACAACAUGGAGGACAAUCUGCUUUACUCAGUCUAUUGAUAUACGUGUUAAUCUUAUUCAAAACCACUUACAGAAACACCCAGAAUGUUGGAGCAAAUAUCUGGGUACCCUGUGGCCCACUUAACUUGAUACAUAUAAGAUUAACCAUCAUUAUAGUCAUCUUCAACUGAAUAUAAAACUAAAAUAUUUAUAUUGUAAAAACACCAAACAAUUAUAGACAUUUAUUAUGUAGAAAUCAAAAUUUCCUUAUAUUCCUACCUCCCAGAGAUACCUGUUAAUAACAGCUUAGUGUAUUUUUCUCCACUUACUUGUAGUAUAUAUACUAGUAUACAUACUAAUGUAUAUAUCUUACAAAAACAGGAUUACAUUACUUAAUAUAUAUAUAUACACACACACACAUAUAUACAUAUAUAACAUGUAGUACUGUGCUUUAAUUUUUACGUUUUUAUUCUAGACCUUAUUCCAUGUCAUUAAAUGUGGACCUACUUCUUCUGAACAUUAUUUCACUAUGGAUGUAUUAUCCAUUCAUUCAUAUUUUGAUUUAUUUAAUGAAUAUUUUUCAUACCUACUAUGUGCCAAGCAACAUUUAUAUGUCGGAUCCUCUGUUGGUAGAAAUUUAGGUCAUUUUGUUUGUUUUUAUUCUUUUGUUUUUUAUUAUAACAAUGUUGAGGUAAACAUCUUUAUCUUCAGACAUUUUUGCAAGAGUUUAUUCUGUAAAGCAUAUUUCUAGAAUUGCUCAAUAAGAAGAUACCCAUAUUUUAGGUUUUAAAAGGUGCUGCUAGCCAAGAGUUUGUCAACCUCAGCCCUGUUGACAUUUUGGGCAGAUAAUUUAUCAUUCCUGGGCAGGGUGGUGUGAGGUCAGGGGAGCUGUUCUGUGCAUUGUAGGAUGUUUAGCAACAUCGUUACCCUGGAUACCAACAACACCGUCCCACCCCCAAGUUGUGACAAUCAGAAAUGUCUUCAUACAUUGCCAGAUGUCAGGACGCCUGGGUGGCUCAGUCGGUUAAGCAUCUGCCUUCGGCUCAAUUCAUGAUCCCAGGGUCCUGGGAUCAAGUCCGCUGUCAGGUUCUUUGCUCAGCAGGGAGCCUGCUUCUCCCUCUGCCUGUCACUCCCCCUGCUUGUGCUCUCUCUCUCUCUCUCUCUCUGACAAAUAAAUAAAUAAAAUCUUUUAAAAAACAAAACAUUGCCAAAUGUCUCCUGGUGGGGAGACUGUCCCAGGUUGAGAACCAGUACACUAGCCCUUCUCUCUUUUCCUGUUCCCGUGCCAUAUAGACAGCUGGGCUUGGGAUGUCAGAGCCCAAGUUGAGUGAAGAGAUGUCCACAUGAGAGGCAGCCUAGCAUGGGAUAUUGGAGGCCAACUGCAGUGAGGAAGGCAGUCACAAGGGAUCAUGGCUUAUUGUGGGAUGUCAGAGCACAGGCUGGAUUAGGAGGGUUUCCAGCCAUGAGGGCAGCCUGGCAUGGGGUGUUCUGAGCCUCAGGCAGGGUGAAAGUAUGUCCAUAUUAGAGAGGCAGGAAUAGUCCUCUCUAGUCCAAAACAGAGAGUGCUUCAUUUAUAUGGCUAAAGGCCUAUUUAUGAUGGUUUCCUUACAUUAGAGCUUGCUCCCUAUGGAGAUCCAUUACUGAUUUGAUGAUUUAAUAUCUUUUAAAUCACAUAAUUAGGGAUUUUUGGCUGAUGUCUCUAUUCUAUUUGGAAUUAUUUUAAUAGUAGGAGAAGCUAGUCCAAGAACAUAGCUCACAGCUACGUAAGGCUCACUUGCUAUCACCUGACAAGUACUUGAACCAUGCAAAUAAUCCCAUCUUUGUGGCUGACACUCAGUAACAUAAUCCUGAGCCAAAGAAACUAAAUAGAAGAGUACAUACUACAUGAUUCUAUUAUAUAAGCUACUAAAACGCAAAAAUAAUCUGUGGUGCUAGAGGUAAGAAUUGUUUACCCUUGGUAAGGGUAGCACUGGAAAGGAGAUGCAUGAGGGGGCUUCUGAAAUGUUGAUGUUUUCUUUCUUGAUCUGGGUGGUUAACUUGUAAAAAGCCAUUGAGCUGUAUGUGUAAGAUUAGCACACCUUUCUAUGUGUGUGUCAUUCUUCCAACAGAAUGUCCACCCCCCAAAAAAUAACCUGUUCUUUUACUCUUGGAAAAUAGUCAGACUCUAUUCUCUGAAUCACAUAAUUAUCAGAAAAUAGAAUGUUAAUGGCUGACAGACCACAGCAUAGACCAACUAAAUAGGUUGGCACGUACCACUCAAACUGAGGAAGGCCCAAUAAAAGUGCUCAGUCUACCAAAUUUGCCAGGUGAUAUGAUAAGCUGAAUGAAAUAUGUCUUGUUCAGCAACAUUCAGAAUACUUUUAUUGAAAUUCUACUUUAUCAUAGGUGCUCUUAUUUUUAGGUUUUGGAGGCACCUGAGGACACAGUACCUACUUCCAUGUACUUCCUACAUGGAAGUGAGGAAGACUAAGCAGUUAGAAUACAAUAACAUAAACACUGAUAAAUGUGCAGAGUUAAUUCACUGAAAUCACAGAGAAGGGGAGGUCACCAAAGGAUUCCUGAAGGAGAGAAGGAUGAAAGUUAGCUAAAUGAAGAAAAUGGGGAAGAGCAUCCAGGUAGGAGGAACAGCACAUGCAGGGUACAGAAUACAACUCAGCAUCACACAUUCAAGGAACUGUCCUUGUGACAUGGACAGCACAGGGACCAUCAGCAUUAUCUUAUGUAUCAUCAAGAGCCUACCCCAGAGCCUGAUUCAUGAUAGACAUUCAGAUAUUAUUUAGGUGAAUAAAUACCUAACAUAGCAUCUGUUAUGUGAAGAGGUCAUCAAAGAAAGAUCAUGAGCCUAUAAUUAAUUCUAAGAAGCUCAGAGUUCAUUUAGUAGGCAGUGAGGAGCCAUUAAAGAACUUAAGUAUUAGAAUAACAUGAUUUGUGGUAUUUUAGAAAGGUUCUCUGGGAACUCUGUAAAACAAGGAUUGAAUCUUUCUCUAGAAAGAGAGUAAGUUAGGGGAAUUUGUGUAUGUGUAUACAUGAAUGUGUGUUCUUACACAUGCGUGUGAGUAGGCAUUUGGUGAGAAUUGAAGCAAUGGAUACUACAUAUAGAUAGGAAGUUCCUAAAAUAAAAUAGAAAUGUUAAAGAUUGUGAACUUAGAGUGUAGGCCCAGUGAAUAUGGGAUGAAUUUGAAGGUGAUUUAGGAGAUACAAUAAAGAGGGAUUAAUGUCGGGUUAUAAGAAGCAUUUGAGGAAGAGGCAUCUUGGAUGACCCCCAGAGUUCUGUCUUGGGUGACUGGUUGAAUACUGAUAGCACACCAUUUGCUAUGAUAGGGAACACAGGUUGAGUAACAGGUUUAUGUUCCAUUUUGUUUUCCAGGAAUCUAGUGUGUUCCAUGGCUACUUACGAUUCUGGUAAUUGUGAUCUGUCUACUAGGAGGUGUUUAGUUGGCAGUUGAAUAUCUGGACAAGACCGAGGCCUGAACCAGAAAGAUGAUAUGGUAUUUGAUAGCAUACUAGUAGAAUUUAAAGGUUGGGUAAAACUCCCAAAACAUCUGUCAGUAGAAUACAUGUUUAGAUUUAUUAGGCUAAAGAGAGGAAAAGAGAAGUGCAGAUGUUUGCUAUAAACUUGUUUUACAGUUUUUCACUCUGCUUUUUUACUUCUCUGGUUUUUGUGGGGAGGCAUGGUUGGCUCUGGUUUGUAAGUCUCAUGAUAGACUCUCAAUAUAAAAUCUCCCAAAUUCCUUGUUUUCAAAUUACGAACACAACUAAACAGCCUAUAUUUCUUGGGGAGAAGGCUAAAAAGGGAUUUUUUCUUUCUUGAGAAAGUUGUGUUGUAUAGUAAAAAGAGCUUAGAUGAACAUUGGAGUCAAAGUUUGGUAGGAAUCCUGCUUCUCAUAUUAUUUAGCUAUGUGCCUUUGGGCAAGUUAUUUAGUUUCACUAAGACGUAGCUUAUUUAUUUGUAAAACUGCAGUAAUUAUAGCUAUCUUUUAAGAUUAUUAUAAAAAUUAAAUGAGAUGAGCUUUUGGAUCUGGAAGAUAAUGGCAACUGUCCAAAUGUAAAUCUCUCCACACAUUCUCCCCAAAAGCCGUAAGACCAAACAGGACCACACAUGUACACACACACACACACGGCCCAUAUAUAAAUCAUACCUUCAGCAUUACUACAACAUAAAUAAUACCAUGAAUUUUAAAUUGCUUUUAUGUAAAGAAACAACAAAUUACAACAAUUCCUGUUGCUGCUACAAACCCCUGAGUCUGGAAAGUGGGGCAAAGAGAGGUUCAAGAGACAGUGAAGACAGGAAAGGAGAUAGGAGGUUUACAAUGAAGCACAAGCAAAAUGACCCUCAGAAAGAAAACAUCCCGCACACAACUGGGAAAAUACAGACACAGGCCUGAGACUUAGGAAUUCAUAGCACUAGCUAUAGGGAAGGUGUGUGAAAGAGAGGGACCACUAGCAGCAUCAGAGAUAGAGAAAGGAUGGUGCCCCUCAGAGCCAUUGCAGGGAGAGGAAAAAAGAAAGUAAGGAGAAAAUAAGUGUCUGGAGAAAUCAAAGAGAAACAAGGCACACAAGUUCAAUACCCACCCACCCACCACCACCCCUACCACCACAACAUCAUCUGUUAAAACAGCUGCUUUUACUAAUCUGCAGAAGCAGACAGCCUUCGACUAAGAACUCUAUCCAUAAAGUGCUCAGAAAUAGAAAAAAAUUAGAUGCUAUAAAAAGCUGCUUUAAGAGGAAUACACAAAAUAUGAACCAAUGUAUUUCCACCAAUAAAAAUUCUUUCACAGAAAGGAAACACAAAACAGAGGGCAACUCUUAUUUUUUUAAUAACAGUUUAAUAUAUAGUCUUAUAUUAGUUUCUGGUGCACAAUAUAAUGAUUCAACAAUUCUGUACGUUACCCAGUGCUCAUCACACUAAGUGUACUCUUUUUUUUUUUUUUUUUAAGAUUUAUUUGUCAGAGAGAGAGAGAGCACAAGCAGGGGAAGCGGCAGGCAGAGGGAGAAGCAGGCUCCCCACGGAGCAAGGAGCCCCAUGUGGAACUCGAUCCCAGGACCUCGGGAUCAUGACCUGAGCCGAAGGCAGUCACUUAACCAAUUGAGCCACCCAGGUAAAUCGGCUACAUCCCCUGCUCCUAACGGCAAUGGCCUUAAGAUGAAGAUUCCUAUAGUGCCCAGCAGUGCAGUGUCCCCCCUGUUCACCAGAACUUGGCACUCCAGGUGUCUCCUAUGUGUGUUGCAUGUACCCUACUAUUGUGGUGAGCCACAUUGCCUUCAGUCCAGUCGUCUGCAGUGACUCCUUGCCUGUUGCAGGCCAUGGUCCUUGUGUCAUUAAUGGGCCAGUCUGGGGCUGCCUUGGGCUUGAGUGGAGUCAGAGCAGGUGCUUGUCAGAGAUAUAAUAUCACUGAACUGCAGGGUGCUUUCUCUUUGUUGUCCACUGAGAGAAGCUUUUGUUGGUAGGUGGGACCUGCAGUCAGACCACAUGUCUGGCCUCUGCCUACUGCUGGGGCUGCAGUCAGACUGGGGUGUGUGAUUGCCUUCCCCUCUCCCCAAGGCAGGAGUCACUUUGGAGCAGUGCUGGCCUCUUUUGGGGCUACUUGCACACUGCCACGCUUGUUGCACUGCUUUGGGUGGACUCCUGCUGAGGGCUUGUUGGAGGAGACAGGUCCACAGGAAAGAGCUCUGUUAACAAGGUAGGUGGAGAGAGUUCCCAGUGGUUCUCCCAGGUGUCUGUGUAUCUCUGCUGGGGGUGGGGGGAGGGAAAUGGCACCUUCCAGCUCUUUUGUUCUUGGAGAAGUCUCCUAAAAAUCCCUGUCUCUCCAGCAUACAUUCUGAGAUUCAUAAAUGAAUCUUCCCCAGGUGUUUUUCAGACUGCUCUUUCUAAUCUAUAUCUCAGUGGGGCUCUUUCUUACACUGUCUCUUUUCAGUCAGGGACUCACUUUCUU
Mirounga angustirostris (Northern elephant seal) is the source of this 10167-nucleotide long non-coding RNA. RefSeq lists it as uncharacterized. Lineage: Eukaryota; Metazoa; Chordata; Mammalia; Carnivora; Phocidae. The record is from RefSeq and is a predicted model, not a curated record. The transcript has 2 exons.